This 231-nucleotide ribosomal RNA is filed under the name uncultured bacterium. RNAcentral's name for it is "partial 16S ribosomal RNA". It matches the Rfam family "Bacterial small subunit ribosomal RNA", at positions 103 to 334 of the family's 1533-position model. The record is from RNAcentral.
CGGAUGAGUAACACGUAUCCAACCUGCCGUCUACUCUUGGACAGCCUUCUGAAAGGAAGAUUAAUACAAGAUGGCAUCAUGAGUCCGCAUGUUCACAUGAUUAAAGGUAUUCCGGUAGACGAUGGGGAUGCGUUCCAUUAGAUAGUAGGCGGGGUAACGGCCCACCUAGUCUUCGAUGGAUAGGGGUUCUGAGAGGAAGGUCCCCCACAUUGGAACUGAGACACGGUCCAA